AAUGAACGCUGGCGGCGUGUCUUAAGCAUGCAAGUCGUGAGGCAAGGGUAGCAAUACCCCUAGAGCGGCGGACUGGUGAGUAACGCGUGGGUGAUCUGCCCUUGGGUUGGGGAUAGCCAUUAGAAAUAGUGGGUAAUACCGAAUACGAUGGCGAGACUGUGGUCUUGUCAUGAAAGGCGCUUCGGCGCCACCCGAGGAUGAGCCCGCGUCCCAUUAGCUAGUUGGUGAGGUAACGGCCCACCAAGGCGAUGAUGGGUAGGCGGCCUGAGAGGGUGUACGCCCACACUGGGACUGAGAUACGGCCCAGACUCCUACGGGAGGCAGCAGUAGGGAAUCUUCGGCAAUGGGCGAAAGCCUGACCGAGCAACGCCGCGUGAAUGAUGAAGGCCUUCGGGUUGUAAAAUUCUGUUAUAAGGGAAGAAUGGCUCUAGUAGGAAAUGGCUAGAGUGUGACGGUACCUUAUGAGAAAGCCACGGCUAACUACGUGCCAGCCGCCGCGGUAA
Molecule: ribosomal RNA, 503 nt
Filed under: uncultured bacterium
Lineage: Bacteria
Description: partial 16S ribosomal RNA
Rfam family: Bacterial small subunit ribosomal RNA
Source: RNAcentral